Molecule: long non-coding RNA, 9815 nt
Filed under: Marmota monax (woodchuck)
Lineage: Eukaryota; Metazoa; Chordata; Mammalia; Rodentia; Sciuridae
Source: RNAcentral
AAAUCCUGGUGGGGAGUGAUUUAGGAAGCAUGCAGUCAUUUCUUCACCAGUUGGCUUAGAAUCAGAGUAGAACUUUACAUUUGUGUUUGUGGAACACAAAAUGGAGCUGCAUUCAACUGACAGUGCUAAUUACUCUCCAGGUGAAGAACAUCAUUUACCAUGCAGUGAAAGAUGCUGUUGGUACCCUCAAGGCUCAUGAAUCCAAACUGGCAAGGUCUUAGGCACGGAGAAAUUCCAAGCUCCCUUGUGAAGCAGGUCUUUUCACUCAACACUUACAGGGAACCACAGGGUUCUCUGCUGGAGCAGAGGCCCUUCACCUGGAGCCAGUGUGGUCAGUAUUACAAACUCUCCAGCCACUCUUUCUACGCUGCCUCAACACUGAAGGUUGACACAGGAAAGUCGCACUGUUCACACACACAGUUUCUGACUCCAAGCCAAGGGUGCCACAUCCCCAGCCAGUGGCCUUUUGGGAACCCGGAUUGCCUGAACAUCGAUAGGCUUUCCUGCAUUAUUCUCUGACUUGAGAUCAUGGAAUCCAGGAAUGUGGGCACACUUUUCUUUUCCUCUUGUGCCUCGUUAAGUGGGGAUGUGUUUGGAGGUAGAGGGAAUCAUGUAACUGGUACAAGUAGGGGUGAUUGCUUAAAUAUGCCUGGUGGAAGCCUGACUGUCUCUGCACAUGACCUCUGACAUGGCCUGCCCCAGGAGAUGGGGUACAGCUAUUCCCCACACUCUCCCAUGAACACUGGAGUCUUACAGGACCCAGGGAGAACCCACUGCUUUUCCCAGGAGGCUCCAGGAUUAGGAAAUGUGUGUAUUUAGUGAAAAAUAGGUUUGUAGUGAAAUAGUUACUAUUUCAUGAAAGUAGAUAUUUUUAGAAUUUUUGAAAUACCACAGUUGUUUUCCUGGAUUAUGAGGAAAGGCACAUUACAUUUAGUCUUCCUUUCGAUAAAACUCUUUGAAGAAAUAUGAUUUUUAGAAAUCAGUUGCCCAUUAUAGCACAAAAUUAGCCAAAGCAGAAUUUAAAAGAAUUGGCUUUUUAGAAUUCUUUUAGUUUCUCCCUCUCCCCUCUCAGUCUUAUCUUGAGGGAACAGUCAUCUGAGAAAGAACUUUGUCAUGUCUGAGCUGUGGUGUGUCCCCACAUAUACAUACACACUGGUGACUCCAGGAACCAUUUUCACCUAUUACCAGCGUUCCCUUGGGACUCCUCAUUUCCAAAUGCUAAGGAAAGUUUGAUUUCCAACAUGAAGGUUUUUGUUUUUUGGGUUUUUGUCCUGAAAUAUUUUCAGCAAAACUUUCCAACUCAGUGGAGUUUUUAUUAAAAAUUUAUUUGAAAAUGAUGGAAUUCAUUGGCCCAUAGGUACAUUGGGAAAUGUAUCUCUUUCCAGCUGUACUGUAGUGCCCUGCAGGCUUGUUUAUAUGUUCACAAUUACUUUUUUUUUUUUUUUAAUAAAAGUCAUUUACUGUAGAAUACUUUUAAUUUCACUUUCUGUAUUUUAAUUUUGUCGAAGGGCUGAUUGGGAUUUCCAUGUUCUUAUUAAAAAUCUAACAAAUCUGUUUGGAGUGGACUAAAUUCUUCCUGUGGACCAACCCUUUUAAAGUCAAGGCCAUAUUGAGGGCUGGUUUAGAGGUGGGUUUUCAUUUCCAGGUUUUUGUUAUUGCACUGCACCUGAUUACUGCUCUUUGCUUCCUGAACUUAUUGCCAUUUGGGAGAAAGGAAAAGUGCCAGGAUGAAGUCAGUGUGGUUUGGGGCUAAAAGGCAAGGAGCCAUUUGAGUUAGAGGGUGGAUGGAGAAAGGGAUUUUCCUAGUUUAUGCUCUGUGAACAGAGGAGUCUUACUUUCCUAGGGCAGAAUGUCUGGGGAGAAUGGCUCAACUGAGAUUUAUUUUUGUUUAUUAAACAACAAAGUGGUUUGAGUGGUAAGGACAGACUGCAUUCCAAUUAGUAGAGGCCUUUUAGAGGGGAAGUUGUAAAGAAUAACAAGAGGGGUCAUUAGAGGCUGCUUCUCUUGAAAGUUUUAGCCUGGGAAUGGAAUUACCAGGUUGAAAAUAUAUCAUAGUUCAAGGAUACUAAGUUUGAAUAAGACCAUAACUCAGCAUGUCCAUUCAGUCUGGUCAACAGAAGGAUUACACCUCGACAUAAAGGGUAAAGAAAUGGCAAAACUUUAAAAUGGAACAGGAAAGGAGAGCAAUUGGGGGGUGCAUUGAAGCUUGGCUGCUUUGGUGAAAAUCAGGAGGCAGGCUAGCCUACAUUCUGGAUAUAAAUGUCUUCAGAAUUAGGACAUACACUGCCCUCAGUGCUUACUGAUGGGGGUGGAACUGCAGCCCCUGGACUCAUCACUGAUCUGGGACCCAGGUACCCCUCCCAGCCCCUGUUUGAAAUUUAAGGCUCACAUCUCCCCAGCCCCUGCUCUUUUCCCCUGCAAAGCUUACUGACAACCUGGGAAAACAGAUGGCUCAGGCAGGGCCUGUUUGAACUAGAGAUUGGUGAUUGUGGAGAAGGGGUGGGGUGGACAGGUGUAGUUGUGUCUCUGACUUCAGGAGCUCAGGUGAAUGUCUUUACGUGGCCUGUAAUGGGGAAGGAGCAUCCGCUAGUCGGCAGUUGAGGUUAUGUAGUCAGCUUGAAGUAAACUGCCUGGGUUCAUAUCUCAGCAGUGUGACUCAGUGGUUUUGUGACCCUUGGCAAUUUAUUAAACAUUCCUAAACUUUCCAUGUCAUUAUCUUAAAAAUGAAGAUAAAUAUAACUUUUGGGUGUUUGGAGGAUUCGAUAAAUAGUGCAUGUGAAGCUCUCAGGACAGGGCCUGCCUCACAAUAAACACUCAACAAAUCAUAGUUGUUAUUCCUUGUUAUGAGUAAAUCUUCAGCCUGAUGUGGGCAGGGAAAGGACUUUGUUAUCAGGUUGGAGUCAAGAAGGCCUGCAGGAGCGGGGCCAGAGGUCUCAAGGCCCUAGAAAGGUGAACAAGCGGUUAAGAGAGAGGCAGGGCAUAGAGGGUGAAGGCGCAUGCCCAGCCACAGCAGGUGCUAGAGGGGCGCGCCGCCGCUGUUGCGGCCUCCCCUUUAAGAGCCGCCACCGCCCACGGUCCGCCGCUGCGGCAGGGACCUCCCCUUUAACGGUGGCAGCUCGGAGCUCCGCUGCCCCCGCGGCGGCUGCUGCUGCUACUGCAGCUCCUGCUGCUGCGGCCGCUCGGCCUCAGACAGCUGCAUCCUCGACCCGGGCCGGGUCCCCGCCCCACGCAGCGCCCAGCCCAGCCAUGGUGUCCUGGAUCAUCUCUCGCCUGGUGGUGUGAGUGCGGAGGCGGCGGCAGGGCACGCCCGGGUUGGGGGCUGUGGGGGCUAGUGAUGGAGGGCGGGGAUAUUAAAUCCCCGUAAUGGACUAUCCCGGGGCUUCAUGCAACAGUCACCUAAAGGCACAUCGUUUCUGUUUGGGGUCCCCAGAGAUGUAGGACCAAGGACUGGAAAGGGGACACUAGGGGAGUUAGCAGGCCUGAAUUCCCAGGGACCUCACCCACAUUUUUUCAUAACCUUUUUUUAUUUUUAAUUGCCCUGCUCCUGUGCCCUCCCCCAUCCUAGGGCUAAGCAGCGGCUGAUUUGUAAGGGAAGGUGGGCACGUUUCUUUUCCACCUCCAGAUCUGGGCUGGAAAAAACCCUCCAACCAGGCCUCCUCUCCCUGGGUGAAGAGGAGAGUAGGACAGAGUGGGGAGCGAGGCAGGGCCUCAUCAUUCCAUAGCUCAGGAGCCAUGGCCGUUUCCCUGGGCCUCCCAGAGGCUCCCGCCCUCCUCCGGCUUUCACUGCCUGGAGACUGAGGAUGAGGACACCUGCCCCAAAGGCCCCAAGAAGGAAGACUGGGUGAGGGGAAGCAGAGAUGCUUGGAGGACAAAGUGUAGGAGGUAACUGGGAAAGGAGGUGUGUGUUCAGCCUGGGGUUGUGAAAACCACUGCGGGAAGGAUGUUUGUAGGCCUUCAUUCACCUGCCAGCCACAUUGUGAAGCGAGGUCCCUAGCACCUCCCCCAAACUCCAAACGGAACCCACACAACCCCAAAUUUUGUCCUUGAGGAUUCUACUCCACAUCCCAUCUGCAAAGGCUGGUUUGGAAGUAACCUGCCUCCAUCAGGCAACCCCCUCAAGUUGUCAGGGAAGUUCCUUGUGGGCCUCAGCCAACCCCUGUCCUAGCUCAGGACCCUCCUCAGCCUCCACCAUGGGGACUGACAUCCCUGCAGCCCCACCCUACUGGCUUCUCAUUCAAUGCUGCCAUGUAUGUGCUUGUUUCCUCUUACCCAUUCCUUUUCCCCAUUCCAACCCAGAGGGAAUCUACAGGCCUUAUUAUCUCUCUGUGGCCUUCAGGGUAGCUGCUUCUCUGUGGCCUGGAGGAGCCCCCAAGAGGCAUUGCUCUUCUUCCUAAUUAACCUGUGUCCUGUCUGUGGCCUGUAAUGGAAUCAUCAGCCAAGGCCUUGAGCCCAGGGCCCUUCCCUAAGCCUAAUCUUGGAGGAAUUGACAUGGGGGAAUAAAUGUCUUUGCUUCUCCCAGGGCCUCCUGACCCUGUGCCCUCUGGUCUCCAGGGCCACAAUAGUGCCUCUAACUGCCAGGUUGAGUAUCAUGUUAGGUGGUGUCAGGUUCUUUUGCCAAGCUGGUCCUACCCAGCCUGGCUCUGAGACAGGGAGGUAGAAGGUAAGGGCUGAUAGGUUGAAUAGCAUGAAGCCCAGAAGGAGGGAAGAUAGCUCAAUAGCAGUGACUGGACUCCCCCACUCCUCAUGACAUGCUUGUCCAUACCAAGGAUCAUGACUAAAGGGACCACAUUUGACACUAUGGCUCCUGGGUCUUUGUGGGCCUCCAGGGCAAAAGAGGAAAUGAACAGUGGAUGGGGACGGGCAUCUCCCUUGCUGGCUGAAUCCCCCAUGCUUAUGUAUCUCCUGAGUCUUGACAGCUUUGACCCUAGCCCCUGACCAGACUCCACCCUUUCCCCCUUACCUACCCAGGGGCCAAUGCAGAGCUGGGAGGGAGAGGGGCCCAGUAACUAUACCUGCCUCCCUAGGCUCAUCUUUGGCACCUUGUACCCAGCCUAUUCUUCCUACAAGGCCGUGAAGACCAAAAACGUGAAGGAAUAUGUGAGUGGAUGACCUAAACCCCCUAUCCGACCCACACUGUAGAGAUAGGAAAGGGCAAUGGGUCAUAUUACAAAUGGAGGUGACUUUGUGUCAGCACUGUUGGCCAUUAACAAGGCCCUGGAUAAAGGAGGUUCCUGGGUGUUCCUUUUGCCCAGCCUUGGCGUGGCCCACAAAUUUGGGUUCCUGGGUGUUCCUUCCCACAGCCCUGGUGUGAGGAGUCUGUAGAUGGGGGCGUCCUAGGUGUCCCUGACCCCUUAGCCCUCGGCCCCAGCAAAUGCUGCCCUCUGUCCCCUCAGGUGAAAUGGAUGAUGUACUGGAUCGUCUUUGCCUUCUUCACUACAGCUGAGACGCUGACGGACAUUGUACUCUCCUGGUGAGGUCCAGCAUCCCUCUCUGCAUCUUAGGACCCAAGCCUCUUUCUUUCUCUCAUCAGACAGAAGAUUGGACCCCACAGUGGAGUCCCCCCAACUCCUGACAGUCUCUUGGGGUCUUUAAUAUUUCACUCCUUGUCUGAUUUGAUCAGCAGAAUAAGAGUAAAUAGAUGGGCAUGGUGGCAUACAUCUGUAAUCCCAGUGACGGGGAGGAUGAGGCAGGAGAAUUAAAGUUCAAGGCCAAUCUGGGAAACUAAGUGAAGCGCUGUCUCAAACAAAAAAUAAAAAUACUAGGGAUAUACCUCAGUGGUGGAGUGCCCCUGGGUUCAAUCCCCACUAUAACCCCCACAUUUCUUUCUGGGGGCAGCCAAAGCCGUAGUGGAAUUUAGGAACCUUACUUUUGUUAUACUUACUGUGACCUUAGGCAAAUCACUGUCUAAGCCUUGGUUCCUUAUUUGUGAAAUAGACAUGGGAUCCAAUCCUAUAGACAUGGGAUGCUUGUAUUUCCAACCAUUUCCCAGGUAAUUCUAGACUGUGUGCAGUUGAGAACAGGGAAUAUGUCUGAAUCAUCUGCAUAGUCACAGCAGGAGCUCAAAAAUAUCUGCUGAAUGAGCAAAUGCCUCUUGGAAAGGAGAACUAAUAAAACAGUACUCUGCAAAUCAAGAGAGUUUUGCCUAGGGGUGGGAGACAGAAAGACCACAGCAUUUAUAGAUAAGCCCCUUGUUUUUUAAGAACAAUAAUAUUAAUAGAAAUUAGUAAUUAGACAAGAUAUGUCUUCAAGAUUGAGGAUAGUGGUAAGUCUAGAUCCUUUUGACACAGGGAAGGAGAGGGCUUUAAUGAGGGCUUUGUGAGGACACUGGAGUCUUCUUGAAAAAGUUUGGCAGUGGGGGAAAUGGAAAACAGUCCUUAAGAGUGAGGGGUGCUGGGUAUGUCUGCCUAUAGUCUAAGCUACUUGGGAGGCUGCAGCAAGAGGAUCAUUUGAGCCUUGGAGUGUUUUUUGUUUUGUUUUGUUUGUUUUGUUUUUGUUUUGUACCAGGGAUUGAACCCAGGAACAGUUAUCCACUUAGCCCCAGCACCGCCCCCCCUUUUUUUUUAAUGAGACAAGGUCUUGCUAAGUUGCUUAGGGUCUUACUAAGUUGCUGAGGCUGGUCUUAAAUUUGACUUGCAAUCCUCCUGCCUUAAGCUCCCAAGCCACUGGGAUUACAGGCAUACACCACUGCUCCUAACCUAAGGGAAAAAAAAAUUUUAAUUGAGAAAAUUGAGGAUGGUCAUGGUGGUGCACACCUGUACUCCCAAUGACUCAGAAGGCUGAAGCAGGAGUAUCGCAAAUUCAAGACCAGCCUAGUCAACUUUGUGAGACCCUGUCUCAAAAAUAAAAAGGGGUAAGGAUGUAGCUCAGUGGUAGACCACCUCUGAAUUCAAUCCCCAGUACUAAAAGAAAGAAAAAAUAUAUAUAGGUGUGAGUAUGUGUGUAUGUGUAUCACAGCAGCAAAUACUGGGAUUCAGAACCCAUCCCAGCCCUCUUCAUAGAAGGGGCAGGAAGAGAAGGGGGUGAGGAACAGACAUUAACCUGAAAGGUUAGGGAGUCUGCCUUGAUCUUGACUCCAGGGCAGAAAAAUAGGGGUCUUCUAUAGGAAUGAGAGGGCAGGACUUGAAGAGAGAAGAGAGCAAGGAGAGCCAUUGCUGGGUAAAUUUCUUCUGAAAUCACAUCUUACCAUUUUUUGUGAACUCUCAGCUGAGUCUCCUAAUCCCCUUGGGAGCCUCAUGAGAACCCCAGUGCACUAAGGGGUGGGAGAUUUCCAGGGUUAAGCAGAGAUCACUGCUGCUGAGCCUAGCGUACCCCCUGACACCCUGCCCCAUGCUUUAUACUUGCCUCUGUCCCCCCAGGUUCCCCUUCUACUUUGAGCUCAAGAUUGCCUUUGUGAUAUGGCUUCUGUCCCCUUACACCAAGGGCUCCAGCGUACUCUACCGCAAGUUUGUGCACCCAACACUAUCCAACAAGGAGAAGGUUUGGCCCCAUUCAGCUUGCUUCCCAGCCUCCCCAAGCCAAGGCAGCCCUGCACCUGCAGCCACACAACCCUGUGCCAUACAUUCCUGGCCCUCCCUUUAGGUCUCCAGAACCUAAAGUGACCUGGCAAUGCCCCAGCCUCCUGGAGUGAGCAAAGAGCAGGGCCUCCACAGCAGUACCCGCCCCUGACCUCUUCCUCCUUCCCUUUAAAUCUCUCAGGAGAUCGAUGAGUACAUCACACAGGCCCGGGACAAGAGCUACGAGACCAUGAUGAGAGUGGGCAAGAGAGGCCUGAACCUGGCUGCCAAUGCCGCUGUCACAGCUGCUGCCAAGGUGAGAUGGGGUGGGCCCGGACUUCAAGGACCCCCACCUUGUUUGUCUCCUGCUCCUGGCCAGUCCCUUGGCAUCCACCCUAUCCUCAGGGCCAUGGAGACUUUGGUCUUGUGCAGCUUGGGCUACCAGUCCUAGCUCUGUGUCCAGCCAAGUCACUUCUGCUGUCCAGCCACAGUUUCCUCAGCUGACCACAGGGAAAGUAUGACCCGGCCUCUCAGUGAGCCUGGGUAAGGACAGUGCGGGGAAAGCACUGAGCCCAGGAGCUGCUGCCAGCACCAUGGUGACCUUUGUCUCAAACCCACCCCCACACCCCUGCUGUCUUGGUGUGUGGUGGUGACCCUAGGGCCAGGGGGUGCUGUCAGAGAAGCUCCGGAGCUUCAGCAUGCAGGACCUGACGCUGAUCCGAGACGAGGAUGCACUGCCUCUGCAGGGAACUGAAGGCCGCCUCCGAACUGCCCCUGGUGGCCUUCUAGACACCAUUGAGGACUUAGGUACAGGCAGGGGUCAGGGCCAUGGGGGAGGAACAGGGUGGAGGAAGCCAGGUGGGAGACCCUGGACCUUUGUUCUCCUUUCCUCCCCAUCAACCAGCUGAUGAGGCUGCCCUGAGUAUAAGGUCUAGCACAAACCAGACAGAUCCCCGGACAGAGACCUCAGAGGAUGACAUGGGAGACAAGGCCCCCAAGAGGGUCAAAUCCAUCAAAAAAGUGCCCAAAACUGAGGUGAGAGCAUGGGCCAGAGCUUGAGGAAGUGGAGAAGGGGUGGUGGCACUGGUCUGAGUCCUGUCUUCUUCUACACUCCACAGCCACUGGCUUCCAAGACACUAAAGACCAGGCCUAAGAAGAAGAGCUCUGGCGGGGGUGACUCAGCUUGAGGCCCCAUGCCCCCACACUGCGGAGCAAAGAGGGAGCCCAAGGAAGGGGCCACAGCCCUAGCCCCUGCUCUAUACUGUGCCAUCAGCCUAGGUGUCUCAGGCUCUGGGGCUCCCUCAGAUACUCGUUCCUGAGACCCACCCAGUGGCCACUCCUCUGGAGGGGGCUUGGAAAAGAGAAGAGAGGCCCAGCUGUGCGGGUUGUGGGUAGAGGUGGCCCCAGAGCUGAGCACUGAGCUCCCAAGGAGGGGAGGGCUCCUCAGCCCACACUGCUCUUCUCCCCACUCCAGUCCUGCCCUGCCCAUCCAGUGCCUUGCUGAAGACCAUGGCCAUCCCCUUCUUUGAGGCCCUGACAUGCCCCCCUGUUCUCCCCAGGAUGAGGGUUAGGGACAGUCACAGCCAGAUGUACCAAGGAAGGGGCCUGAAGGCACUGGGAGAAAGGGAGCAAAUAGGACAGGCCUUGAGGGACCUGGAUGGGGCUUCUAGACACAGCUUUUGAGUGAAGGACAUGAAUUUUGUGUGGAUUUAAAUGACUGAGAUGCCCUGAUCAGAGCUGCAUCUGGUAAGGCUGUGUGCUACAUGUCCCCCCUGAAAAAAGAGGGUAGGGUUCGGUGUGUGAGUGUUGAGUGUUAUUUUACUGGGUCUAGAGCUGGGGCCAGUUUGGGUUAAGGACUCUCCCUCUAGUGCUCACCUCCUUCCACUCUCAGCCCUGGUCUUUCCCCCUCUUCACUGUCCCUGCUAGUCUCUGAGCCUCAGAGGAUCCCAGCCCAGGUCAGGAUGGGGCUCUAAGGGACCUCUCUGCUCCCCCUCUAUCCUUGAUCCUUUUUGCCUCACCUACUCCUGUCCUGACUUCCUAGACCUCAGUCACUGCAGAAGCCCCGCUGAGCUGGCUCCUUCCUCUUCCCACUGGGUCCUUCUUUGCCCCAGGGUCCCAUUCUUAAGCCAAGCAGACCCCUGUCAGAGCCCAGCUCCAACCCUACCCCACCUCCCAUUUCUGCGUGGCUUCCAUCAGGGCCAAGAGGAACCUGUGACAAAAGAAAUGCAGGAGCAGAAGGACUCUCAAUUCUUUGUAAAGAUAGUGCCCAUUGGACCUUUGGCACUAGAUGAGCCAAUAAACCAAAUUCUGGCACCUCACUUA